Molecule: ribosomal RNA, 584 nt
Filed under: uncultured bacterium
Lineage: Bacteria
Description: bacterial SSU rRNA
Rfam family: Bacterial small subunit ribosomal RNA
Source: RNAcentral
CCUACGGGAGGCAGCAGUAAGGAAUAUUGGUCAAUGGGCGCAAGCCUGAACCAGCCAUGCCGCGUGCAGGAAGACGGCCCUAUGGGUUGUAAACUGCUUUUGAACAAGAGAAAACCUCGGUACGUGUACCGAGCUGAUAGUAUUGUUAGGAUAAGCAUCGGCUAACUUCGUGCCAGCAGCCGCGGUAAGACGAAGGAUGCAAGCGUUAUCCGGAUUCAUUGGGUUUAAAGGGUGCGUAGGCGGCCUGAUAAGUCAGUGGUGAAAUCUCUCAGCUUAACUGAGAAACUGCCAUUGAUACUGUCGGGCUUGAGUACAGAUGAUGUGGGCGGAAUAUGACAUGUAGUGGUGAAAUACUUAGAUAUGUCAUAGAACACCGAUUGCGAAGGCAGCUCACAAAACUGUAACUGACGCUGAGGCACGAAAGUGCGGGGAUCAAACAGGAUUAGAUACCCUGGUAGUCCGCACCGUAAACGAUGAUUACUCGUUGUUGGCAAUAUGACCGUCAGCGACCAAGCGGAAGCGAAUAAGUAAUUCCACCUGGGGAGUUACGCCGGCACGGUUGAGACGUUCAAAUUGAUUGACGG